RNAcentral lists this long non-coding RNA (1556 nucleotides) under Olea europaea subsp. europaea. Lineage: Eukaryota; Viridiplantae; Streptophyta; Magnoliopsida; Lamiales; Oleaceae. The record is from RNAcentral.
CCACACAUUAAUUUUCCACGUAACGAGGGCCAAACAUGGGCUAAAGCUAGGAUAAAAUACAUAACUAAAAAGUUUUCAAGAUACAAUUUAAAAAAUAAGAAACCAACAUAAAAUUUCAAAAAAUUGUGACCACUGAUAAAAAAAUUUAUGGCUUAAUACUAAUUAUAAUACACAAUUUAUAGUCACAAUCACGCAUUGAUCACAAAUCAGAUAAUAUCACAAUCACAAAAACAUAAAUUAUUAGUCACAAUUUUAAAUUUAAUUGCAAAUCACAUUUUUUUUAGAUCACAUUAUUCAGUGGUUACAAAUUAUCUAUUUAUUGGUCAAAUUACUCAAAUAAUUGUCACAGACUCUUCACCACCACUCCACCAUUGGCACCGCCCGAACACUGUUGCCACUUCACCGCGACUACCAUCACCUAACCGCCAGCACCACCACAACAUCCACCGCACUAGCACCAUGCAAAUCUAUACACCCAACCUACCACCACACAAACAUUAGCGCACCACAUCAUCCACCUCGCCACCAAUAGAGUAGAUCCGACUAGUUUAAAAGAUUUGAAAAUUUCAACUUCAAAUUCUGUUCGAGGUGGAAGAGAUUUUACUGGUGGCAAAGAUUUGGUUCGCCGUCACUUUCUCCGGUGUCACCAUCUGGACCAGAUAUUUUACCUUUCUAGCAAGCAAUAGCAACGUUCCAUCUCAUGGAGCCCUUUCCCAUUCUCCCUCUCCAGCAAGCCAUAGCAAUGUCCCAUCUCUCGAAGCCACCUCCUUCGCCUUCUCCAGCAAGCAAAAAAAAUAGCUGGAGCUCGAGACAGCAUACACGAGCGGUCAGGUUACGAAGAUGUCGAAUUUGGUGGGUGCUGUAGGUAGAUAGAUAGACAGAACAAAGAGGAAGAUCGUAGAGAGAGAGGGUAUGAGAAGAGAAAGCGAUGACAAGUUUUUGGUGAUGGCGGCCGGAGCUGGCCGAUGGCGGUUGGAGUUUGUGGAUCUCGUAGAUAGAGAAAGAACAAAGUGGGAAAUCAGAGAGGGAGAGAGGGGGUCACAAAUCAAUUCUUUUACAGGGACACGAUCAAUGACAGGAUUUUAUAUACGCAUAGAUACAUUUGGCAUUUUUUCAUUGACAACGAAAAAAUUAAAGAAAAUACUGUCAAUUAAAAACAACAUUGUCACACCUACACAAAAAAUUAUACAGAUGUUUAAAACACGCAUAAUAGUGGAGCCCACCUCAUAAAAUAUUCAUAUGGAACCCACUUUCAUGUGACUGCCAUGUAGAACAUCUGUGAAAAAUAUUCACAAGGCAUUUUCCAAUCAAAAACUGCGGUGUGAGGCAUGUGGUCUUGCGUGGAAAAUGCUCUGUUAUUGCCCUGUUUGUUCACAAAUAUUGGUGCGAGGCAUGUGGUGUGGGUGUGGCUUGCGUGAUACGGUGCACCUAUUUUGAAAGAAUGAUUUUUGUACUUGAUUAUUAAAUGAGCGUAAUUUCCUUUAUAAUUAGAUGGUCAUUGCUUGAAAUUUAUGAUGGGUUGUGGGCCUAUGUUACGGACCCAAAGUCUAGCAAGG